GCUGGUAGCUCAGUUGUAGAGUGCACGCUUUGUAUGUCUGAUGUCCUGGGUUCAAUCCACGUCUUCGCC
Molecule: non-coding RNA, 69 nt
Organism: Dallia pectoralis (Alaska blackfish)
Lineage: Eukaryota; Metazoa; Chordata; Actinopteri; Esociformes; Umbridae
Source: the annotation of a GenBank genome assembly